This 406-nucleotide ribosomal RNA is filed under the name uncultured bacterium. RNAcentral's name for it is "partial 16S ribosomal RNA". It matches the Rfam family "Bacterial small subunit ribosomal RNA", at positions 30 to 526 of the family's 1533-position model. The record is from RNAcentral.
AUUGAACGCUGGCGGCAGGCCUAACACAUGCAAGUCGAACGAGUGGCGGACGGGUGAGUAAUGUCUGGGAAACUGCCCGAUGGAGGGGGAUAACUACUGGAAACGGUAGCUAAUACCGCAUACCAUCGGAUGUGCCCAGAUGGGAUUAGCUAGUAGGUGGGGUAACGGCUCACCUAGGCGACGUUCCCUAGCUGGGCUGCGAGGAUGACGAGCGACACUGGAACGUAGACACGGGCCAUGCUCCUACGGGAGGCAGCAGUGGGGAAUAUUGCACGAUGGGCGCAAGCCUGAUGCAGCCAAGCCGCGUGUAUGAAGAAGGCCGUCGGGUUGUAAAGUACUUUCAGCGAGGAGGCGUUACUCGCAGAAGAAGCACCGGCUAACUCCGUGCCAGCAGCCGCGGUAAUUC